Molecule: ribosomal RNA, 426 nt
Filed under: uncultured bacterium
Lineage: Bacteria
Description: partial 16S ribosomal RNA
Rfam family: Bacterial small subunit ribosomal RNA
Source: RNAcentral
GUGAGGAAUUUUCCGCAAUGGGCGAAAGCCUGACGGAGCAAUGCCGCGUGAAGGAUGAAGGCCUAUGGGUUGUAAACUUCUUUUCUCAGAAAAGAAUUAUGACGGUAUCUGAGGAAUAAGCAUCGGCUAACUCUGUGCCAGCAGCCGCGGUAAGACAGAGGAUGCAAGCGUUAUCCGGAAUGAUUGGGCGUAAAGCGUCUGUAGGUUGUUUAAAAAGUAUUCUGUCAAAGAUUAGGGCUUAACCCUAGAUAGGCAGAAUAAACUUUUAAGCUAGAGUUUGGUAGAGGCAGAGGGAAUUCCCGGUGGCGCGGUGAAAUGCGUAGAUAUCGGGAGGAACACCAAAGGCGAAGGCACUCUGCUGGGCCAAUACUAACACUGAGAGACGAAAGCGAGGGGAGCAAAUGGGAUUAGAAACCCCUGUAGUCC